UCCGGCCAUAUCACAUUCAAACACUGUUUCCCGUACGGUCAGCAAAGUUAAGCAAUGUCGGGCCUGGUCAGCACCUAGACGGGUGAGCGUCUGGGAAUACCAGGUGCUGUAA
Acanthosepion pharaonis is the source of this 112-nucleotide non-coding RNA. The record is from the annotation of a GenBank genome assembly. Lineage: Eukaryota; Metazoa; Mollusca; Cephalopoda; Sepiida; Sepiidae.